GAUGAACGCUAGCGGCAGGCUUAAUACAUGCAAGUCGAGGGGCAGCACAGGUAGCAAUACUGGGUGGCGACCGGCAAACGGGUGCGGAACACGUACACAACUUACCUUAGAGUGGGGGAUAGCCCAGGGAAACUUGGAUUAAUACCCCAUAAAACAGGGGGCCCGCAUGGGCAUAUUGUUAAAGAUUUAUCGCUUUAAGAUGGGUGUGCGUAUGAUAAGGUAGUUGGUAGGGUAAAGGCCUACCAAGCCGACGAUCAUUAACUGGUGUAAGAGCACGACCGAUCACACUGCAACUGGGACACGGGCCCGACUCCUACUGGAGGAAGCAGUAAGGAAUAUUGGUCAAUGGACGGAAGUCUGAACCAGCCAUGCCGCGUGAAGGAUGAAGGUCCUCUGGAUUGUAAACUUCUUUUAUAGGGGGCGAAAAAGGGCCAUUCUUGGUCAACUGACGGUACCCUAUGAAUAAGCACCGGCUAACUCCGUGCCAGCCGCCGCCGUAA
This 500-nucleotide ribosomal RNA is filed under the name uncultured bacterium. Its description in RNAcentral is "partial 16S ribosomal RNA". It matches the Rfam family "Bacterial small subunit ribosomal RNA", at positions 28 to 523 of the family's 1533-position model. The record is from RNAcentral.